RNAcentral lists this transfer RNA (71 nucleotides) under Loxodonta africana (African savanna elephant). It matches the Rfam family "tRNA". From Rfam's summary of the family: Transfer RNA (tRNA) molecules are approximately 80 nucleotides in length. Their secondary structure includes four short double-helical elements and three loops (D, anti-codon, and T loops). Lineage: Eukaryota; Metazoa; Chordata; Mammalia; Proboscidea; Elephantidae. The record is from Rfam by way of RNAcentral.
GCAUUGGUGAUUCAGUGGUAGAAAUCUCAGUUUCCAUGUGGGAGACCCAGGUUCAAUUCCUGGCCAAUGCC